This 254-nucleotide ribosomal RNA is filed under the name uncultured bacterium. Its description in RNAcentral is "partial 16S ribosomal RNA". It matches the Rfam family "Bacterial small subunit ribosomal RNA", at positions 524 to 776 of the family's 1533-position model. The record is from RNAcentral.
UACGGGGGGGGCAAGCGUUGUUCGGAAUUACUGGGCGUAAAGGGCUCGUAGGCGGCCAACUAAGUCAGACGUGAAAUCCCUCGGCUUAACCGGGGAACUGCGUCUGAUACUGGAUGGCCUGAGUGUGGGAGAGGGAUGCGGAAUUCCAGGUGUAGCGGUGAAAUGCGUAGAUAUCUGGAGGAACACCGGUGGCGAAGGCGGCAUCCUGGACCACGACUGACGCUGAGUGAGCGAAAGCCAGGGGAGCAAACGGG